CUGUAAUGGGCGCAAUUACCCUAAUGACGCCCCUCGUGGCGUCCUCCCAUCCUCUCGGGCCCGGGCUCCCCCCGCGGCCCGCCACGCCAAGCGCGGGGUUUCACCCUCCUUCGCACGUGGAGUAGGGAUCCGAGGCUCGAAGCCAGUGGGAGCCUCUUCCAAACCCUUACAGCCGGGGGACUUCCACAUCCCGCAGGUGAAGAAUGGGAGGCUCAGAGAAGGAAGUGACUCAUAGGAAGUCACGCAGCAAGUCCACCUAAAAACCGGAGGCCUGAGUUCCAGCUCUGGGCUCUUACUCCUCAUUCCGAUACCUCCCCUGCAAGGUUCUUCAAGGACCCUUGAAAAGAUUGGAAGACUCUCACCCUCUCUGAGUUCUAUCUUUCCACCUGUGAGGUAGGGGAACCCAGUGAGACCUUCUUCCAGUCUCAACCAGCAU
Lemur catta (Ring-tailed lemur) is the source of this 436-nucleotide long non-coding RNA. RefSeq lists it as uncharacterized. NCBI's taxonomy places the organism in Eukaryota, Metazoa, Chordata, Mammalia, Primates, Lemuridae. The record is from RefSeq and is a predicted model, not a curated record. The transcript has 4 exons.